RNAcentral lists this ribosomal RNA (497 nucleotides) under uncultured bacterium. Its description in RNAcentral is "partial 16S ribosomal RNA". It matches the Rfam family "Bacterial small subunit ribosomal RNA", at positions 28 to 507 of the family's 1533-position model. The record is from RNAcentral.
GAUGAACGCUGGCGGCGUGCCUAAUACAUGCAAGUCGAGCGAACAGAUGAGGAGCUUGCUCCUCUGACGUUAGCGGCGGACGGGUGAGUAACACGUGGAUAACCUACCUAUAAGACUGGGAUAACUUCGGGAAACCGGAGCUAAUACCGGAUAAUAUAUUGAACCGCAUGGUUCAAUAGUGAAAGACGGUUUUGCUGUCACUUAUAGAUGGAUCCGCGCCGCAUUAGCUAGUUGGUAAGGAAACGGCUUACCAAGGCAACGAUGCGAAGCCGACCUGAGAGGGUGACCGGCCACACUGGAACUGAGACACGGUCCAGACUCCUACGGGAGGCAGCAGAAGGGAAUCUUCCGCAAUGGGCGAAAGCCUGACGGAGCAACGCCGCGUGAGUGAUGAAGGUCUUCGGAUCGUAAAACUCUGUUAUUAGGGAAGAACAAAUGUGUAAGUAACUAUGCACGUCUUGACGGUACCUAAUCAGAAAGCGACGGCUAACUACGUG